AUGAGGCGCAAUAAACAUUGCAGCAGGUCGCGGAGGCCGGGCGGGGCGCGGAGGAAGGGUCUCUGCGAGAGACAAGAGGCAAUAAAGUGCAUUCAGCGGCAGCAGGCUCUGCCCAAACUCAGCACUCGCCUCCCAUCACCCGCGGGGGAGGGGGCGGCGAGAAGGGGAGGCAGCCCGCAAUGCCCAGCGCCCCACGCCGGGAGCCAUCCGAGCUGGAGCCUGCGCGAGUGCAGGGCGGCGGGGGUCACCUCAGCCGCCCGGCCGGCCCCGCCGUCGUGGCCCGGCUCCGCCGCCUCCGUCCGCGUGUGGGCGCACGCCCCGACGGGCCGGGACGCGGUCACCUGCCCGCGGCUCCCGCCCUCAGGGCCGCCGGGCCGGGCCGUGGAGCGACCGCCGGGGGCGCGACAGGGCCCGGCCGCCGCCACCAGCCCUCGUGUCUCCACGGCCUCUUCCAGGAGAAGGCGCUGUAGGACAAGCCUGGCCACUCUCCCCUCCGCGGGGCGAGGGGCCCACCGCCCCGCCGGCAGCUUCCCCCCCUGCCCGCCGGCCCACGGAAGAGGCCCAUCGGCGGGCGGGGGGCAUGGGCAGGGCUCCACCGCCCUCCUCGGGCGUCUCCAGCCUCGACCCAGUUGCCCCACUCCCUCCAGCCCCGCGGCCCCCCGUCUCACCCGGCCCGCAGACCCUGGCGCGCCCCGGUGCGCGCCCUCGCGCUCUCCCUGCCUAACCCGCAGUGCCGCGGGGCUCCUCUCGUGUGCCCCGCUGCCCUCCCGGUCACCAGCCCGCCCUUUGAAGUCGGGCACCCGCCUCUUCCCUCCCUGUCCCUUUGAUGCGGGUGCCAGAGCACCCUCCUUCCCGCCGGCUCCCUUCCCGCGGGCAGAGCCCCCGACCCCCGCACAUCCACCCUUGCCUCCUGCAAGCCGGGGCCCAGCAGAGUUCCCUGCCUCUGCUUCACCUGUUGCCUGCAGGCUCCACCUUCCCAAACCGUGCCCGGACACGACCCUGGCGGCACCCACCCUCACGGGCCGUGCCUACCCCGGCGAGACGCUCCCACGGCCCCCGGCCUCCCCUCCCUGCCCCGCACUCCUCGCCCUCUUCCCCCGCGGACCUAAGGUGUCGCCGCCGCUGCCCCCGUUUGAUGUUGAGGCGCGGCUCGACGCCGCCCUGCCCGCUCCGGGCCUCUGCUGCCACCGGAUCUGCCUGCGGGCGUGGGGUGCUGUGGGCAGGGGCCUUUGCAUGCCCACAUCCUGCUCGGCGAGGGCAUGGGCGACGAGGUGA
RNAcentral lists this long non-coding RNA (1275 nucleotides) under Corvus moneduloides (New Caledonian crow). Its description in RNAcentral is "lncRNA (ENSCMUG00000016874.1)". The record is from RNAcentral. Lineage: Eukaryota; Metazoa; Chordata; Aves; Passeriformes; Corvidae.